UACAGAGACUGCAAGCGUUAAUCGGAAUUACUGGGCGUAAAGCGUGCGCAGGCGGUUUUGUAAGUCAGAUGUGAAAUCCCCGGGCUUAACCUGGGAACUGCGUUUGAAACUACAAGGCUAGAGUGUGGCAGAGGGGGGUGGAAUUCCACGUGUAGCAGUGAAAUGCGUAGAGAUGUGGAGGAACACCGAUGGCGAAGGCAGCCCCCUGGGUUAACACUGACGCUCAGGCACGAAAGCGUGGGGAGCAAACAGG
RNAcentral lists this ribosomal RNA (253 nucleotides) under uncultured bacterium. RNAcentral's name for it is "partial 16S ribosomal RNA". It matches the Rfam family "Bacterial small subunit ribosomal RNA", at positions 524 to 776 of the family's 1533-position model. The record is from RNAcentral.